GACGAACGCUGGCGGCGUGCCUAACACAUGCAAGUCGAACGGAGUGAUGAUUUCGGUUAUCACUUAGUGGCGAACGGGUGAGUAACGCGUGAGAAACCUGCCUUUCAGUGGGGGACAACAGUUGGAAACGACUGCUAAUACCGCAUAAGACCACAGCACCGCAUGGUGCAGGGGUAAAAACUCCGGUGGUAUGAGAUGGAUCCGCGUCUGAUUAGCUAGUUGGUAAGGUAACGGCUUACCAAGGCAACGAUCAGUAGCCGACCUGAGAGGGUGACCGGCCACAUUGGGACUGAGACACGGCCCAA
This 305-nucleotide ribosomal RNA is filed under the name uncultured bacterium. Its description in RNAcentral is "bacterial SSU rRNA". It matches the Rfam family "Bacterial small subunit ribosomal RNA", at positions 28 to 334 of the family's 1533-position model. The record is from RNAcentral.